GUCAUCAAGUGAUGAGAUCUGAAAGUAUUAUCUUAGGACACCUUCCUACACAGCUAUUGCUGUGGAUGAGAACAAUAUUUCUAUUUCUGAUGAUGAU
RNAcentral lists this small nucleolar RNA (97 nucleotides) under Macleaya cordata. Its description in RNAcentral is "Small nucleolar RNA snoR31/Z110/Z27". It matches the Rfam family "Small nucleolar RNA snoR31/Z110/Z27". Rfam says of the family: This family contains several related snoRNAs including R31, Z27 and Z110. The record is from Rfam by way of RNAcentral. Lineage: Eukaryota; Viridiplantae; Streptophyta; Magnoliopsida; Ranunculales; Papaveraceae.